AUUGAACGCUGGCGGCAUGCCUUACACAUGCAAGUCGAACGGCAGCACGGGAGCAGUCCUGGUGGCGAGUGGCGAACGGGUGAGUAAUAUAUCGGAACGUGCCCAGUCGUGGGGAUAACGUAGCGAAAGCUACGCUAAUACCGCAUACGAUCUAUGGAUGAAAGCGGGGGAUCGCAAGACCUCGCGCGAUUGGAGCGGCCGAUAUCAGAUUAGGUAGUUGGUGAGGUAAAGGCUCACCAAGCCGACGAUCUGUAGCUGGUCUGAGAGGACGACCAGCCACACUGGGACUGAGACACGGCCCAGACUCCUACGGAGGCAGCAGUGGGAAUAUUGGACAAUGGCGCAAGCCUGAUCCAGCCAUGCCGCGUGAGUGACGAAGGUCUUCGGAUUGUAAAGCUCUUUUGCGGGGUACGAUAAUGAGGUACCCGCAGAUAAGCCCCGGCUAACUUCGUGCCAGCAGCCGCGGUAAAGUG
This 473-nucleotide ribosomal RNA is filed under the name uncultured bacterium. RNAcentral's name for it is "bacterial SSU rRNA". It matches the Rfam family "Bacterial small subunit ribosomal RNA", at positions 30 to 527 of the family's 1533-position model. The record is from RNAcentral.